This 960-nucleotide ribosomal RNA is filed under the name Protostrongylus rufescens. Its description in RNAcentral is "16S ribosomal RNA". Lineage: Eukaryota; Metazoa; Nematoda; Chromadorea; Rhabditida; Metastrongylidae. The record is from RNAcentral.
UGCUUUAAUUUAAUUUAUUUAGUUUUUAGUAUUGCAUACUAGUAAAGGAGAAUGUUAUAGUAAUAAUAAAUUAAAUAGGGAAGUAGAAAAUUGUUUGGUUUUGUUGUAACAAAACAAAGAUUAUUAAUUUUAGGGUUGAUAUGUCGUUUCUCUGUAUAUUAGUUUGUAGUUUAGGCUAUUAGAAAGUUGUAGUUUUUUGUUUUUAUUUAAUAGAUUAUAAUUUGAAGUAUUAGUUUUUUUAGUUUUAUAACUAUUGUUAAAUUUUAAUAAAAUUUGUUGAGUUUAUUUAUUAUAUCUUUAGUAAAUUAAUAAUUUUUAUAUUAGUAUCUUUUUUUCUUAGGUUAUUUUAUAAUUUAAUAUAAAUUGUUAAUUAAAUAUUUAAUCAAAUGUUUUUUAAAGACUUAGAUUCUUUUAUAGAGUUUGCUUCUGCCCAGUGAUAAGGUUUAACGGCAGUCUUAGCGUGAGGACAUUAAGGUAGCAAAAUUAUUUGUACUUUUAAUGAGUUCCAGUAUGAAUGAAGUUAUUGGUUAGUUAUUUAUUUUUUUUAUGGUGAAUUUUUUUUAGGAUUAAAAAAUAUCUUUUACUAUUGGACAAAGAUAAGUCUUCGGAAAUUUUUUUGUUAAUAUUGUUGUAUUAAUAUUAUCAAAUUUUCUAGGGUAGAAUAUUAUAUAGUUUUUUUAUCUAAUGUUAAGAUAAAAAAUUACUCCGGAGUUAACAGAAAAUCAUACUUCAUCCAGUUCUAAUGGUAAGGUAAGUUUUACAUCGAUGUUGUAUCUAAGUAGUUUAAGGAGGAGAAGAUUUAAGUUUUUAGACUGUUCUUCUAUUAGAUUUACUUAACGUGAUAUUAGUUUAAUUCAUCGUGAGAUAGAAUUGUUUAUCUUGUUAAUUGUUUUUUUAAGUUUAUUAGUACGAAAGGAAUAUUUAAUUAAGUUUUAAACUUUUUUAAUAAUGGUUGAGUUA